This is a small nucleolar RNA of Lemur catta (Ring-tailed lemur), 104 nucleotides long. RefSeq annotates it as small nucleolar RNA U13. Lineage: Eukaryota; Metazoa; Chordata; Mammalia; Primates; Lemuridae. The record is from RefSeq and is a predicted model, not a curated record. The transcript has a single exon.
AUCCUUUUGUAGUUCAUAAGCAUGAUGAUUGGGUUCUCCCGCUCCUGUGUGAGAUGUGCCUCCCUCUAACCCUAUUACAAUGUCAGCACAUUAUCUGUCUGAUG